This 209-nucleotide ribosomal RNA is filed under the name uncultured bacterium. Its description in RNAcentral is "partial 16S ribosomal RNA". It matches the Rfam family "Bacterial small subunit ribosomal RNA", at positions 568 to 774 of the family's 1533-position model. The record is from RNAcentral.
UGCGUAGGUGGCGCUGUAAGUGGGGGUGUGAAAUCCCGGGGCUUAACCCCGGGACCUGCAUUCCAUACUGCGGUGCUUGAGGACUGGAGAGGAGACUGGAAUUUACGGUGUAGCAGUGAAAUGCGUAGGGAUCGUAAGGAAGACCAGUGGCGAAGGCGGGUCUCUGGACAGUUCCUGACACUGAGGCACGAAGGCCAGGGGAGCAAACG